GAUGAACGCUGGCGGCGUGCCUAAUACAUGCAAGUCGAGCGAACGGACGAGAAGCUUGCUUCUCUGACGUUAGCGGCGGACGGGUGAGUAACACGUGGAUAACCUACCUAUAAGACUGGGAUAACUUCGGGAAACCGGAGCUAAUACCGGAUAAUAUUUUGAACCGCAUGGUUCAAUAGUGAAAGACGGUCUUGCUGUCACUUAUAGAUGGAUCCGCGCUGCAUUAGCUAGUUGGUAAGGUAACGGCUUACCAAGGCUACGAUGCGUAGCCGACCUGAGAGGGUGAUCGGCCACACUGGAACUGAGACACGGUCCAGACUCCUACGGGAGGCAGCAGUAGGGAAUCUUCCGCAAUGGGCGAAAGCCUGACGGAGCAACGCCGCGUGAGUGAUGAAGGUCUUCGGAUCGUAAAACUCUGUUAUUAGGGAAGAACAGAUGUGUAAGUAACUGUGCACGUCUUGACGGUACCUAAUCAGAAAGCCACGGCUAACUACGUG
RNAcentral lists this ribosomal RNA (497 nucleotides) under uncultured bacterium. RNAcentral's name for it is "partial 16S ribosomal RNA". It matches the Rfam family "Bacterial small subunit ribosomal RNA", at positions 28 to 507 of the family's 1533-position model. The record is from RNAcentral.